This 76-nucleotide small RNA is filed under the name Flavobacterium succinicans. RNAcentral describes it as "Flavo-1 RNA". It matches the Rfam family "Flavo-1 RNA". Lineage: Bacteria; Pseudomonadati; Bacteroidota; Flavobacteriia; Flavobacteriales; Flavobacteriaceae. The record is from RNAcentral.
GCCUAGCCCAGAUGGGAGCGGCAUCCUUGCUUGGCGGGGUUCGCCGAGCAAGAUAUAGCGUACAGCGGGACGACUC